Molecule: non-coding RNA, 78 nt
Organism: Schistosoma haematobium
Lineage: Eukaryota; Metazoa; Platyhelminthes; Trematoda; Strigeidida; Schistosomatidae
Source: Rfam
GGCUUUCCGAAUUCGUAAGGAGAUUUCGUCAAACAACAAACCACCAGGACUGAUGAGAUUACCAAGAUAAAUGAAAUU